CCCUACGGGGGGCAGCAGUGAGGAAUAUUGGUCAAUGGUCGGGAGACUGAACCAGCCAAGCCGCGUGAGGGAUGAAGGUACAGAGUAUCGUAAACCUCUUUUGUCAGGGAACAAAGGCGGGGACGUGUCCCCGGAUGAGUGUACCUGAAGAAAAAGCAUCGGCUAACUCCGUGCCAGCAGCCGCGGUAAUACGGAGGAUGCGAGCGUUAUCCGGAUUUAUUGGGUUUAAAGGGUGCGUAGGCGGGCUUCUAAGUCAGCGGGAAAAAUUCGGGG
Molecule: ribosomal RNA, 273 nt
Filed under: uncultured bacterium
Lineage: Bacteria
Description: partial 16S ribosomal RNA
Rfam family: Bacterial small subunit ribosomal RNA
Source: RNAcentral